RNAcentral lists this ribosomal RNA (496 nucleotides) under uncultured bacterium. RNAcentral's name for it is "partial 16S ribosomal RNA". It matches the Rfam family "Bacterial small subunit ribosomal RNA", at positions 29 to 507 of the family's 1533-position model. The record is from RNAcentral.
AACGAACGCUGGCGGCGCGUCUUACGCAUGCAAGUCGAACGGCAAGAGAGGAGCUUGCUUCUCUCCUAGAGUGGCGGACUGGUGAGGAACACGUGGGUAAUCUACCCUUAAGAUGGGGAUAGCUGCUAGAAAUAGCAGGUAAUACCGAAUACACUCGGCAUAUCACAAGAGGUGUUGAGGAAAGGAAGCUACGGCUUCGCUUGAGGAUGAGCUUGCGUCCCAUUAGCUAGUUGGUGAGGUAAAGGCCCACCAAGGCGACGAUGGGUAUCCGGCCUGAGAGGGUGAACGGGCACAUUGGGACUGAGAUACGGCCCAAACUCCUACGGGAGGCAGCAGCUAAGAAUAUUCCGCAAUGGACGGAAGUCUGACGGAGCGACGCCGCGUGGAUGAAGAAGGCUGAAGAGUUGUAAAAUCCUUUUGUUGAUGAAGAAUAAGGGUGAGAGGGAAUGCUCAUCUGAUGACGGUAAUCGACGAAUAAGCCCCGGCUAAUUACGUG